AGAGUUUGAUCAUGGCUCAGAGCGAACGCUGGCGGCGUACUUAACACAUGCAAGUCGAACGGGGAUCUUCGGUGUAGCAAUACAUCGGCGGUCCUAGUGGCGCACGGGUGAGUAACACGUGGGUAACCUGUCCUUGAGUUCGGGAUACCCUUUCGAAAGGAAGGCUAAUACCGGAUACGUUCCUCGGAUUGCGAAAUCUGGGGAGGAAAGGUGGCGAAAGCUACCGCUCUUGGAGGGGCUCGCGGCCUAUCAGCUAGUUGGUGAGGUAACGGCUCACCAAGGCUAUGACGGGUAGCUGGUCUGAGAGGACGACCAGCCACACGGGAACUGAGACACGGUCCCGACUCCUACGGGAGGCAGCAGUGGGGAAUUUUCCGCAAUGGGCGAAAGCCUGACGGAGUGACGCCGCGUGGGGGACGAAGGCCUUCGGGUUGUAAACCCCUGUCAGAGGGAAAGAAGGGUCGCCUGGCUAAUAUCCAGGUGAUCUGACGGUACCUUCAGAGGAAGCCCCGGCCAACUCUGUGCCAGCAGCCGCGGUA
Molecule: ribosomal RNA, 539 nt
Filed under: uncultured bacterium
Lineage: Bacteria
Description: bacterial SSU rRNA
Rfam family: Bacterial small subunit ribosomal RNA
Source: RNAcentral